This is a non-coding RNA of Triticum aestivum (bread wheat), 134 nucleotides long. The record is from Rfam. NCBI's taxonomy places the organism in Eukaryota, Viridiplantae, Streptophyta, Magnoliopsida, Poales, Poaceae.
UUAGUACUCCCUCCGUCCCAAAAUUCUUGUCUUAGAUUUGUCUAAAUACGGAUGUAUCUAGUUACGUUUUAGUGUUAGAUACAUCUGUAUGUAGACAAUCUAAGACAAGAAUUUUGGGACGGAGGGAGAAGUUA